This 507-nucleotide ribosomal RNA is filed under the name uncultured Glomeromycotina. RNAcentral's name for it is "partial small subunit ribosomal RNA". It matches the Rfam family "Eukaryotic small subunit ribosomal RNA", at positions 591 to 1092 of the family's 1831-position model. The record is from RNAcentral. Lineage: Eukaryota; Fungi; Glomeromycota.
CCAAUAGCGUAUAUUAAAGUUGCUGCGGUUAAAAAGCUCGUAGUUGAAUUUCGGAAUUGAUGCAUCGGUCGUGCCUUAAGGGGCAUGAACUGGUGUAGCCAAUUUCUCACCUUCUGGUAAAUUGUUGAUGUUCUUAAUUGGGUGUCUCAAUGAACUGGAAUUUUUUACUUUGAAAAAAUUAGAGUGUUUAAAGCAGGCAUUGAUUUGCUUGAAUACAUUAGCAUGGAAUAAUGAAAUAGGACGGUGGUUCUGUUUUGUUGGUUUCAAGGAUCACGUAAUGAUUAAUAGGGACAGUUGGGGGCAUUAGUAUUCAAUUGUCAGAGGUGAAAUUCUUGGAUUUAUUGAAGACUAACUACUGCGAAAGCAUUUGCCAAGGAUGUUUUCAUUAAUCAAGAACGAAAGUUAGGGGAGCAAAGACGAUUAAGUAUGUUGUAGUCCUAACCAUAAACUAUGCCGACUAGGAAUCAGAUGAUGUUAAUUUUUUAAUGACUCGUUUGGUACCUUACG